UCGUCAAACCCGGGGGUGCCGGGGAGAUCCGCCCCCGGCUGAGAUCACACCCGUCGAACCUGAUCCGGGUCAUGCCGGCGAAGGGAGGUCACCAUCAGCACCG
This 103-nucleotide non-coding RNA is filed under the name Rhodospirillum centenum. RNAcentral describes it as "TPP sequence". It matches the Rfam family "TPP riboswitch aptamer (THI element)". Rfam says of the family: Vitamin B(1) in its active form thiamin pyrophosphate (TPP) is an essential coenzyme that is synthesised by coupling of pyrimidine and thiazole moieties in bacteria. The previously detected thiamin-regulatory element, thi box was extended, resulting in a new, highly conserved RNA secondary structure, the THI element, which is widely distributed in eubacteria and also occurs in some archaea. Lineage: Bacteria; Pseudomonadati; Pseudomonadota; Alphaproteobacteria; Rhodospirillales; Rhodospirillaceae. The record is from RNAcentral. RNAcentral also lists the same sequence under 1 other name.